Long non-coding RNA from Paramisgurnus dabryanus, 1598 nucleotides. RefSeq lists it as uncharacterized. Lineage: Eukaryota; Metazoa; Chordata; Actinopteri; Cypriniformes; Cobitidae. The record is from RefSeq and is a predicted model, not a curated record.
GGAGCAUUUAAAUAGUAUUUUCUCACAAUGCCCGCACGCCUCCCCCUCGGGGAAAGCGUGUGUGUAUUCCGCACCAAACACACACACACAAAGCUCGUGCCAUCCCCGUCAAUAAUAAUCUAGGACAGGGGGUAACACACUUCUAAAUCCCUUUCUUUAUCCAUGUUUUCCUAGUUUUUUUUAAACUAAUCUAAUCUAAUCUCACUAGAUAUAGGGCCCUAUUUAAACGAUCUUAGCGCAGCGUCUAAAGCGCACGGCGCACGGUCUAAAUGGGCGUGUCCGAUGCCACUUUUGCUAUUUUAACAACGGGAAAAAUGGUUUGUGCGCCGAGCGCAGGGUCGAAAAGGGUUGUACAUAUUUUCCUAAUGAGUAAUGGGUGUGUUUUGGGCGUAACGUGCAGUAAACCAAUGAGAGACUCAGCUAUCAUCCCCUUUAAAAGCCAGUUGCGCUGUCGCUGUGCGUAAUCCCUAUUUAGAUAACGGACCUUGUAAACUGAAGAACUAAGCGGAGGAAGAAGGCCACCAGUUUAAGAAUAAUGUUAAAAAAGUGUUGUUUUCAUUUUUAUUGAAUUUUUUAUUAUUAAAACCUUUAAAAGCCUUUUUCUUUUUCUUACACUGUUAGAUGUCGCUGUAGAUUUAGCAGCACUGUACUGUAAAAAUCCACAGUACUAUACUGUAUGUGUACAUUACAGUACAGUACUGCAGUUCAUAAUGCAUUCUGGGUAAAUUUGUUUGAGCGGGAACAUUUUACAGUAUAUUUUGGUCUUGAUGUAACCUUGCUGUAGCCAUUGCUGUAAUGUGCCAGGUGUACUUGCAAUAAUCAGAGAAAGUGCGCCAACGUCAAAUCACACAGACAGAGGGAGCGCACAACUCUUGGCUGCAGCUGAAGGAGGACGAUUGAUUUCUGUCAGUUCGUCUUACCAUUGCUUGUAAGUCGGAUUGGGUAAGAUGGAUCAUCUUUAAAGGCACCAGGAGUUAAGGCAGAUGUGGAGGCACAACGGGUGACACCAGACACACACCAAGCACAUUGUUCGGACAUUCAAUCAUGACAUGAUCCAGGUGGAUGCUGUCCAUUGAGGAAAGAGUUUGUUCAGCGGUUUCUGGAUAGAAUUAAUUCCAAAGAUGGGAAAAAGUGCACAUCCAGACAAGGAGCAAGCAAAAAGACAAGGAACUUGGUGCAGAGAAAAGCUGUGGCCAUUAACCCCCAUGUGAACAGCUUCAUGCAGUCCCUGAUUGAGUUCGAAUGGACGACUUCAAAGUAAAGGCCACUGUGGUCUGUCUGCCACAGUUUAAUGCAUUUAUUUUUAGUGUUAAAUGAAAUUCAAGUAGAAUAUUUAAAACUAUGGGCCAGUGUUCUUUUUACCACAGUGAAAUGUUACCUUUUAGUCGAUGAUGGACUUUAAACUGAAAACUUCAAACUAUGGAAGAGUGUUCUAUUUGCCAGAGUUAAAUAUGUUACAGCAGGGGUCUCCAAACUUGUUUAUACUUGUUGAUUUUAUUUUAUGUUACUUGAUUAUAUGUUUAUUAUUGUUUAAAAUCUUGUUUUAAAUAUGUUUUGUUUCGAUUAAAUGUUUUUUAAAUAAAAUUUUGAUACAAACA